Molecule: transfer RNA, 73 nt
Filed under: Actinomycetota bacterium
Lineage: Bacteria; Bacillati; Actinomycetota
Description: tRNA-Glu
Rfam family: tRNA
About the family: Transfer RNA (tRNA) molecules are approximately 80 nucleotides in length. Their secondary structure includes four short double-helical elements and three loops (D, anti-codon, and T loops). Further hydrogen bonds mediate the characteristic L-shaped molecular structure. tRNAs have two regions of fundamental functional importance: the anti-codon, which is responsible for specific mRNA codon recognition, and the 3' end, to which the tRNAs corresponding amino acid is attached (by aminoacyl-tRNA synthetases). tRNAs cope with the degeneracy of the genetic code in two manners: having more than one tRNA (with a specific anti-codon) for a particular amino acid; and 'wobble' base-pairing, i.e. permitting non-standard base-pairing at the 3rd anti-codon position.
Source: RNAcentral
GCCCCCAUCGUCCAGAGGCCUAGGACAUCGCCCUUUCAAGGCGGAAACACGGGUUCGAAUCCCGUUGGGGGUG